UUGGGGGCUCACCACUGAAUCCUGGGGAAGCAGUUGACAGAGAGCCUGUCUGAGCAUGAGGACCUCCAGUUCCCAGGUGAGCACCUGCUUGGAACCACAGGCACAAAUCCGCAGGCAUGGAUGCUGAUGGAAAGCAAGUGCCCCACGGAAGGAGUAACUAGAGCAACCACUCAGCAGAGGAGGACAUUCUGGCUCCGAGAAGGUGAGGAAUGUCUGAAGUCACACCUGCCAUUCUUGUCUGAAAGUGGCAGAGCCAAGAUUCAUCUGAUUUCAUCAGGUCCCCAGAGCCUGCUCCUUUGACCACACUAGCCGCCACAUGAGGUAAGAUGUCCAUGUCUGUACCUGUGUCCUCCAGGACACAGAGCAGAUGCGGCAUAGUGCAGGACGUCUGAGGUGAGCUGUUGUAGCAACAUCGCCAGCGGGAAAUCCAUCCUCACAAUGCCCCUGAGCCCUCUGGUGAGCUGCUUUUGGAAAGUGUGACCCACCCCAUCCAGGCUGCAAGGCACGCGCUGUUACGCAUGUGUGGGCUUAAUUAUCAACAUUGUUCUAGGCCAGGAGGGACACCCGUCUGCAAGGAGUGAGCUCUCCAUUUGAUUCCACUUGAUAUGAUUUCCUCAG
Molecule: long non-coding RNA, 618 nt
Filed under: Homo sapiens (human)
Lineage: Eukaryota; Metazoa; Chordata; Mammalia; Primates; Hominidae
Description: HSALNT0049198
Source: RNAcentral